RNAcentral lists this long non-coding RNA (2086 nucleotides) under Salmo salar (Atlantic salmon). RNAcentral's name for it is "lncRNA (ENSSSAG00000119309.1)". Lineage: Eukaryota; Metazoa; Chordata; Actinopteri; Salmoniformes; Salmonidae. The record is from RNAcentral.
CGUGAAUUGGUCCUGGAAACAUGGCUGCCUCCAUGUUCAACCAUUCUGACCUUUAGAAAACACCGGACAGACCUGAGCCCUAGGACCAUGCCUCAGGACUACCUGGCCUGAUGUCUCCUUGCUGUCCCCAGUCCACCUGGUCGUGCUGCUGCUCCAGUUUCAACUGUUCUGCCUAUGGAACCCUGACCUGUUCACCGGACGUGCCUACCUGUCCCAGACCUGCUGUUUUGAACUCUCUGGAGACAGCAGGAGCGGUAGAGAUACUCUGAAUGAUCGGCUAUGAAAAGCCAACUGAUAUUUACUCCUGAGGUGCUGGCCUGUUGCACCCUCUACAACCACUGUGAUUAUUAUUAUUUGACCCUGCUGGUCAUCUAUGAACAUUUGAAUAUCUUGGCCAUGUUCUGUUAUGAUCUCCACCCGGCACAGCCAGAAGAGGACUGGCCAACCCUCAUAGCCUGGUUCCUCUCUAGGUUUCUUCCUAGGUUCUGGCCUUUCUAGGGAGUUUUUCCUAGCAAACGUGCUUCUACACCUGCAUUACUUGCUGUUUGGGGUUUUAGGCUGGGUUUCUGUACAGCACUUUGUGACAUCAGCUGAUGUAAGAAGGGCUUUAUAAAUACAUUUGAUUGAUUGGUUGUCCUGUUCACCACAGUCUGAGGUCCUGAGCGCUCUGGAUCAGGUUUUCAUCAAGGAUCUCUCUGUACUUUGCUCCAUUCAUCUUUCCCUCUAUCCUGACUAGUCUCCCAGUCCCUGCUGAUGGUUAAACAUCCCCACAGCAUGAUGCUGCCACCAUCAUGCUUCACCGUAGGGAUGGUGCCAGUUUCCCUCCAGACGUAACGCUUUGCAUUCAGGCCAAAGAGUUCAAUCUUGGUUUCAUCAUACCAGAGAAUCUUGUUUCUCAUAGUCUGAGUCCUUUAUGUGCCUUUUAGCAAAUUUGAAAUGGGCUGUCGUGCUUUUUACUGAGGACUGUCUUCUGUCUGGCAACUCUACCAUAAAGGCCUGAUUGGUGGAGUGCUGCAGAGAUGGUUGUCUUUCUGGAAGAUUCUCCCAUCUCCACAGAGGAGCUCUGUCAGAGUGACCAUCUGUUUCUUGUUCACCUCCUUGACCAAGGCCCUUCUUCCCCGAUUGCUCAGUUUGGCCGGUUGGCCAGCUCUAGGAAGAGUCUUGGUGGUUACACACUUCUUCCAUUUAAGAAUGAUGGAGGCCACUGUGUUCUUGGGGACCUUCAGAGCUGCAGAAAUAAUUUUGGUACCCUUCCCCAGAUCUGUGCCUCAACACAAUCCUGUCUCAAGGCUCUACGGACAAUUCCUUUGACCUCAUAGCUUGGUUUUUGCUCUGACAUGCACUGUCAACUGUGGGACCUUAUAUAGACAGGUGUGUGCCUUUCCAAAUCAUGUCCAAUUAAUUGAAUUUACGACAGGUGGACUCCAAUCAAUGGAAACAGGAUGCACCUGAGGCCAAUUCCGAGUCUCGGGGCAAAGGGUCUGAAUACCUGUGUAAAUAAGGAUGGCUUCCUGGAUUCCAAGCAGCUGAUUGGUCUGCCCCAUUGCAGAUUAGAGCUCUGACCCCGCCCUCUCGUCAGCGGAUACAGCUGUCUGCAAUUACCGACUCCUUCUGCAGCUUAAAAAGCCAGUGUUCCUUUGCCAGUUGGAGAGAGAGCUUUUUUUUUUUUUGUAUUAUUUUUUAUAUUUUUAUAUAUAUAUUUUUUUUUAAAUUAUUUUUUUUGCUGUGUUUUUGUGUGUAUUUGCUGUGUUGGUCUGGUAAAGUAUUUUGUAGCCGGUCCUCCAGAGGUAUGUGUUUGCUAUAGUACCUAGUGUUUUUGGUUUAUUCAAAUUGUUCACUGAGUUUGGUGACUUAUUCGGUUUCAUUUGUUCCUGGGGGGGGAAGGGGAAGGCACCUUGGGAGUGUUUAGGCAAGAGGCCUGCGGGCAUACAUAUACCCGUAGUAUGUACUCUGUCUAUGCACACUAGGUAAGACUUGGGUGGACCACCCCUUGUAUUUUGGUUAGCGCGCCAGGUGGUGUUAAGAAUAGGUAGGUAGGAGAGGAGGCUCCUUAACUUUACUUUCAUUGCUUUGGUUCUGUCCAGCC